Molecule: non-coding RNA, 72 nt
Organism: Lineolata rhizophorae
Lineage: Eukaryota; Fungi; Ascomycota; Dothideomycetes; Lineolatales; Lineolataceae
Source: the annotation of a GenBank genome assembly
AGGCUUGUGGUCUAGUGGUAUGACGUUCGCUUCACACGCGAAAGGUCCUGGGUUCGAUCCCCUGCAGGCCUA